ACUUGCGGUUAAAAUAUGAAGUGUUUAUUCUGAGUUGAAAAGACCGUACUUAUAUCUAGUAUUCUUAAUGUAAUUUAAAUAAUGUCUUCCUUUACUAACUGCAUGUGACUUUGUUCUACUUAUAUUGUUUAAUACGUACUGAUGAAUUCAGCAGCGAAUUGGCUAAUGCUGCUAAUGCUUUUUACAUUUUUUUUUCACAAUGAACAGUCUUCUUUGUGUAGUUUUCAUUAUAUUGCACUCUUAUUUUUCAUUAUGUACAUGCCUGCAAUUCGCAGCUCGCUGUUUUUGUUGUUGUAUGGUAUUGUUGUUUUGCCUUCAUUUGUUUUGUCUGGUCCUUUGUAGUUUGAAUGUUGUCACAUGAUCCAAAUAGGACAAGCUGCAAGAUCACCACCCCAUUGGGAAGAAACUAAAUCACGACCCCCAAAUGGUAGUCUUCCCAUGCAGAUACAGGGAUGUCACACAGAUCCAAAUGGAAACAGGACCAAUGGUGACAAUAUAAGACCAUGCCGAGCUUCAUGGACGGUUCAAACUCAUCCUGCCCAGGAACGGCUGAAAACGUUGACAGCAAUCAACAGGGGGACAUGGAAAGAGAGGAUUGGAAGUGAAAUAGAGGGUUUUUCGGGACAGCCAUAGGGGAAGGACUGUGGCAUCUUCAUGUUGAUGACUGAUAUGCCAACUCUGAGGAAGUGGUGGUGUAUAUUGCUAGCGGACAAUUUCAAACUUGGGUGCAUGGUGAGCCACAGGAAAGAGUUUGCCCAUUGGACAGACAAGGCAAAAGCAUUACUGCAGGGUGAAGUGCCACCAGUCUAUCAGCUACAGAAGUGAAAUUUGAAUAUAAUUGCUGAGGAAGAGGUGCAACCACAACUCCUUCAAGUUAGUGGUGGCCCACUCCAAAAAGAUACGGCGGGAAAAAAUGUUUUGGUAAAAGGAUUGUGCCAGACAGCACAAAAGCCUCGGACAGGGCUGGG
Molecule: long non-coding RNA, 968 nt
Organism: Corythoichthys intestinalis (scribbled pipefish)
Lineage: Eukaryota; Metazoa; Chordata; Actinopteri; Syngnathiformes; Syngnathidae
Exons: 9
Source: RefSeq, a predicted model, not a curated record